RNAcentral lists this ribosomal RNA (454 nucleotides) under uncultured bacterium. RNAcentral describes it as "bacterial SSU rRNA". It matches the Rfam family "Bacterial small subunit ribosomal RNA", at positions 340 to 786 of the family's 1533-position model. The record is from RNAcentral.
UACGGAAGGCAGCAGUGGGGAAUAUUGCACAAUGGGCGCAAGCCUGAUGCAGCCAUGCCGCGUGUAUGAAGAAGGCCUUCGGGUUGUAAAGUACUUUCAGUCGUGAGGAAGGUGUUAAGGUUAAUAACCUUAGCAAUUGACGUUAGCGACAGAAGAAGCACCGGCUAACUCCGUGCCAGCAGCCGCGGUAAUACGGAGGGUGCGAGCGUUAAUCGGAAUUACUGGGCGUAAAGGGCACGCAGGCGGUUAAUUAAGUUGGAUGUGAAAUCCCCGGGCUUAACCUGGGAAUGGCAUUCAAGACUGGUUAGCUAGAGUCUUGUAGAGGGGGUAGAAUUCCAUGUGUAGCGGUGAAAUGCGUAGAGAUGUGGAGGAAUACCGGUGGCGAAGGCGGCCCCUGGACAAAGACUGACGCUCAUGUGCGAAAGCGUAGGGGAGCAAACAGGGAUUAGAUACC